CAAUACAACGCUCUGAAUCAUAUCGAUAAAAGUGUGAGAAAUU
RNAcentral lists this non-coding RNA (43 nucleotides) under Trypanosoma brucei brucei. The record is from RNAcentral. Lineage: Eukaryota; Euglenozoa; Kinetoplastea; Trypanosomatida; Trypanosomatidae.